ACUAGAAUGAAUGGCUAAAUGAGGACUAAACUGUCUCUUACGGACCAGCCAAUGAAAUUGAUUUCCCAGUACAAAAGCUGGGAUAUACUCAUAAGACGAGAAGACCCUGUGGAGCUUCAAAACCAAACCACCCAGCAUGCUCCUUGGAUUUUUAGUUGGGGCGACUUCGGAAUAUAAAAAAACUUCCAAAAAUGAAAUAAUUUUAUUAAGGUUAACACACCAAAAUUAGCCCACUAGACCCAGCAACUAACUGUUAGUCUGAUUAAUGAACCAAGUUACCCCAGGGAUAACAGCGCAAUCUCCUUUUAGAGUCCAUAUCGACAAGGAGGUUUACGACCUCGAUGUUGGAUCAGGACACCCCAAUGGUGCAGCCGCCAUUAAAG
RNAcentral lists this ribosomal RNA (383 nucleotides) under Lacerta agilis (Sand lizard). RNAcentral describes it as "partial 16S ribosomal RNA". It matches the Rfam family "Archaeal large subunit ribosomal RNA", at positions 2063 to 2639 of the family's 2987-position model. The record is from RNAcentral. Lineage: Eukaryota; Metazoa; Chordata; Lepidosauria; Squamata; Lacertidae.